This 348-nucleotide ribosomal RNA is filed under the name Triticum aestivum (bread wheat). RNAcentral's name for it is "partial small subunit ribosomal RNA". The record is from RNAcentral. Lineage: Eukaryota; Viridiplantae; Streptophyta; Magnoliopsida; Poales; Poaceae.
AUGGCGGAGGCGAGCCGCAGCCACCCGUCGCGGUACGUGAAGUUGACCAAGGACCAGGACGCUUCCGCCUCAGGCGUCGAGGACAUCCGCCCCGGCGAGCUCAACCUGCCUGUCGCCGUCCCGCAGCUGGAGCAGAGGAAGUGCUUCGAGUGCGGGCAGGUGCUGCCUGAGAGCCACCGAGCGCCGGCCGACGAGCCGUGGACAACCGGCAUCUUCGGGUGCGCUGAAGACCCCGAGAGCUGCCGGACUGGACUAUUCUGCCCCUGUGUUUUGUUUGGACGAAAUGUUCAGGCCCUUAGAAGAUAUCCCAUGGACAACACCCUGCACUUGUCAUGCUGUCUGUGUUGA